Molecule: ribosomal RNA, 472 nt
Filed under: uncultured bacterium
Lineage: Bacteria
Description: bacterial SSU rRNA
Rfam family: Bacterial small subunit ribosomal RNA
Source: RNAcentral
UGGGGAAUAUUGGACAAUGGGCGAAAGCCUGAUCCAGCCAUGCCGCGUGUGUGAAGAAGGUCUUCGGAUUGUAAAGCACUUUAAGUUGGGAGGAAGGGUUGUAGAUUAAUACUCUGCAAUUUUGACGUUACCGACAGAAUAAGCACCGGCUAACUCUGUGCCAGCAGCCGCGGUAAUACAGAGGGUGCAAGCGUUAAUCGGAAUUACUGGGCGUAAAGCGCGCGUAGGUGGUUUGUUAAGUUGGAUGUGAAAUCCCCGGGCUCAACCUGGGAACUGCAUUCAAAACUGACUGACUAGAGUAUGGUAGAGGGUGGUGGAAUUUCCUGUGUAGCGGUGAAAUGCGUAGAUAUAGGAAGGAACACCAGUGGCGAAGGCGACCACCUGGACUAAUACUGACACUGAGGUGCGAAAGCGUGGGGAGCAAACAGGAUUAGAUACCCGAGUAGUCCCUGAGCGGGCUGGCAAGGCGCAU